UUUGUUUAGAUUGAACGCUGGCGGCGUGCCUAAUNCAUGCAAGUCGAGCGGACAGAUGGGAGCUUGCUCCCUGAUGUUAGCGGCGGACGGGUGAGUAACACGUGGGUAACCUGCCUGUAAGACUGGGAUAACUCCGGGAAACCGGGGCUAAUACCGGAUGGUUGUUUGAACCGCAUGGUUCAGACAUAAAAGGUGGCUUCGGCUACCACUUACAGAUGGACCCGCGGCGCAUUAGCUAGUUGGUGAGGUAACGGCUCACCAAGGCGACGAUGCGUAGCCGACCUGAGAGGGUGAUCGGCCACACUGGGACUGAGACACGGCCCAGACUCCUACGGGAGGCAGCAGUAGGGAAUCUUCCGCAAUGGACGAAAGUCUGACGGAGCAACGCCGCGUGAGUGAUGAAGGUUUUCGGAUCGUAAAGCUCUGUUGUUAGGGAAGAACAAGUGCCGUUCAAAUAGGGCGGCACCUUGACGGUACCUAACCAGAAAGCCACGGCUAACUACGUGCCAGCAGCCGCGGUAAUACGUAGGUGGCAAGCGUUGUCCGGAAUUAUUGGGCGUAAAGGGCUCGCAGGCGGUUUCUUAAGUCUGAUGUGAAAGCCCCCGGCUCAACCGGGGAGGGUCAUUGGAAACUGGGGAACUUGAGUGCAGAAGAGGAGAGUGGAAUUCCACGUGUAGCGGUGAAAUGCGUAGAGAUGUGGAGGAACACCAGUGGCGAAGGCGACUCUCUGGUCUGUAACUGACGCUGAGGAGCGAAAGCGUGGGGAGCGAACAGGAUUAGAUACCCUGGUAGUCCACGCCGUAAACGAUGAGUGCUAAGUGUUAGGGGGUUUCCGCCCCUUAGUGCUGCAGCUAACGCAUUAAGCACUCCGCCUGGGGAGUACGGUCGCAAAACUGAAACUCAAAGGAAUUGACGGGGGCCCGCACAAGCGGUGGAGCAUGUGGAUUAAUUCGAAGCAACGCGAAGAACCUUACCAGGUCUUGACAUCCUCUGACAAUCCUAGAGAUAGGACGUCCCCUUCGGGGCAGAGUGACAGGGGUCGG
This 1043-nucleotide ribosomal RNA is filed under the name Bacillus siamensis. RNAcentral's name for it is "bacterial SSU rRNA". It matches the Rfam family "Bacterial small subunit ribosomal RNA", at positions 19 to 1044 of the family's 1533-position model. Lineage: Bacteria; Bacillati; Bacillota; Bacilli; Caryophanales; Bacillaceae. The record is from RNAcentral.